Poecilia latipinna (sailfin molly) is the source of this 319-nucleotide long non-coding RNA. RefSeq lists it as uncharacterized. The record is from RefSeq and is a predicted model, not a curated record. The transcript is spliced from 3 exons. Lineage: Eukaryota; Metazoa; Chordata; Actinopteri; Cyprinodontiformes; Poeciliidae.
ACUUUCACGCCUGGUUUCAGUGCUAAGUGUUAUUUACAAAAUUAAAGCUUAUUGGUAUUUGAGAGGGCAAACUUGCGUUAUUAUGCUCUAUUAUCGAUACGUUACUUGAAAAUAGUGCCAAAAGUAGCAAUAUUAUCAUUUAUAGCAAUAAUAACUUGAGAAAACAAACUGAACUCCCUUUUGUCAUUUGCUUUACAUAAUAUUCCUUAGAGAACAGCUCUAGUUGAACAACAGGCAUGCAUAUUUUCUAAAUGACACAAUCUUUAAAUACACUGGAAUCUUACAAAGUGCUGACAGAUGCAAAUAACACAAACUCGUG